GAUGAACGCUGGCGGCGUGCCUAAUACAUGCAAGCCGAGCGAACAGACGAGGAGCUUGCUCCUCUGACGUUAGCGGCGGACGGGUGAGUAACACGUGGAUAACCUACCUAUAAGACUGGGAUAACUUCGGGAAACCGGAGCUAAUACCGGAUAAUAUAUUGAACCGCAUGGUUCAAUAGUGAAAGACGGUUUUGCUGUCACUUAUAGAUGGAUCCGCGCCGCAUUAGCUAGUUGGUAAGGUAACGGCUUACCAAGGCAACGAUGCGUAGCCGACCUGAGAGGGUGAGCGGCCACACUGGAACUGAGACACGGUCCAGACUCCUACGGGAGGCAGCAGUAGGGAAUCUUCCGCAAUGGGCGAAAGCCUGACGGAGCAACGCCGCGUGAGUGAUGAAGGUCUUCGGAUCGUAAAACUCUGUUAUUAGGGAAGAACAAAUGUGUAAGUAACUAUGCACGUCUUGACGGUACCUAAUCAGAAAGCCACGGCUAACUACGUG
This 497-nucleotide ribosomal RNA is filed under the name uncultured bacterium. Its description in RNAcentral is "partial 16S ribosomal RNA". It matches the Rfam family "Bacterial small subunit ribosomal RNA", at positions 28 to 507 of the family's 1533-position model. The record is from RNAcentral.